RNAcentral lists this ribosomal RNA (490 nucleotides) under uncultured bacterium. Its description in RNAcentral is "partial 16S ribosomal RNA". It matches the Rfam family "Bacterial small subunit ribosomal RNA", at positions 30 to 507 of the family's 1533-position model. The record is from RNAcentral.
AUUGAACGCUGGCGGCAGGCUUAACACAUGCAAGUCGAGCGGUAGCACAGGGGGGCUUGCUCCCUGGGUUACGCGCGGCGCAGGGGUGUGACAUGUCUGUGAAACUGCCUGAUGGCGGGGGAUACCUACUGGAAACGGUAGCUAAUACCGCAUAACGUCGCAAGCCCAAAGAGGAGGACCGUCGGACCUCCUGCCUUUCGCUGUGCCCGGGUUGGAUUAGCUAGUAGGUGGGGUAAUGGCUCACCAAGGCCACGAUCCACAGCUGGUCUGAGAGGGUGACCAGCCACACUGGAACUGAGACACGGUCCAGACUCCUACGGGAGGCAGCAGUGGGGAAUCUUGCGCAAUGGGCGCAAGCCUGAUGCAGCCACGCCGCGUGUGUGAAGAAGGUCUUCGGGUUGUAAAGCUCUGUCAGUGGGGAGGAAGGUGUUGGGCUUAAUACGUUCAUAAAUUGACGGUACUCGCAGAGAAAGCACCGGCUAACUCCGUG